UGGGGAAUAUUGCACAAUGGGCGCAAGCCUGAUGCAGCCAUGCCGCGUGUGUGAAGAAGGCCUUCGGGCUGUAAAGCACUUUCAGCGGGGAGGAAGGCGUUAAGGUUAAUAACCUUGGCGAUUGACGUUACCCGCAGAAGAAGCACCGGCUAACUCCGUGCCAGCAGCCGCGGUAAUACGGAGGGUGCAAGCGUUAAUCGGAAUUACUGGGCGUAAAGCGCACGCAGGCGGUCUGUCAAGUCGGAUGUGAAAUCCCCGGGCUCAACCUGGGAACUGCAUUCGAAAGUGGCAGGCUAGAGUCUUGUAGAGGGGGGUAGAAUUCCAGGUGUAGCGGUGAAAUGCGUAGAGAUCUGGAGGAAUACCGGUGGCGAAGGCGGCCCCCUGGACAAAGACUGACGCUCAGGUGCGAAAGCGUGGGGAGCAAACAGG
RNAcentral lists this ribosomal RNA (429 nucleotides) under Chloroflexota bacterium. RNAcentral describes it as "Chloroflexi bacterium partial 16S ribosomal RNA". It matches the Rfam family "Bacterial small subunit ribosomal RNA", at positions 355 to 776 of the family's 1533-position model. The record is from RNAcentral. Lineage: Bacteria; Bacillati; Chloroflexota.